AGUGAACGCUGGCGGUAGGCCUAACACAUGCAAGUCGAACGGCAGCACAGUAAGAGCUUGCUCUUACGGGUGGCGAGUGGCGGACGGGUGAGGAAUACAUCGGAAUCUACUUUUUCGUGGGGGAUAACGUAGGGAAACUUACGCUAAUACCGCAUACGACCUACGGGUGAAAGCAGGGGAUCUUCGGACCUUGCGCGAUUGAAUGAGCCGAUGUCGGAUUAGCUAGUUGGCGGGGUAAAGGCCCACCAAGGCGACGAUCCGUAGCUGGUCUGAGAGGAUGAUCAGCCAAACUAGAACUGAGACACGGUCCAGACUCCUACGGGAGGCAGCAGUGGGGAAUAUUGGACAAUGGGCGCAAGCCUGAUCCAGCCAUACCGCGUGGGUGAAGAAGGCCUUCGGGUUGUAAAGCCCUUUUGUUGGGAAAGAAAAGCAGCAGGUUAAUACCCCGCUGUUCUGACGGUACCCAAAGAAUAAGCACCGGCUAACUUCGUG
This 492-nucleotide ribosomal RNA is filed under the name uncultured bacterium. RNAcentral describes it as "partial 16S ribosomal RNA". It matches the Rfam family "Bacterial small subunit ribosomal RNA", at positions 29 to 507 of the family's 1533-position model. The record is from RNAcentral.